UGGGGAAUAUUGGUACAAUGGGCGAAAGCCUGAUCCAGCCAUGCCGCGUGUGUGAAGAAGGUCUUCGGAUUGUAAAGCACUUUAAGUUGGGAGGAAGGGCAGUAAGUUAAUACCUUGCUGUUUUGACGUUACCAACAGAAUAAGCACCGGCUAACUUCGUGCCAGCAGCCGCGGUAAUACGAAGGGUGCAAGCGUUAAUCGGAAUUACUGGGCGUAAAGCGCGCGUAGGUGGUUCAGCAAGUUGGAUGUGAAAUCCCCGGGCUCAACCUGGGAACUGCAUCCAAAACUACUGAGCUAGAGUACGGUAGAGGGUGGUGGAAUUUCCUGUGUAGCGGUGAAAUGCGUAGAUAUAUGGAGGAACACCGGUGGCGAAAGCGGCUCUCUGGUCUGUAACUGGCGCUGAGGCUCGAAAGCGUGGGGAGCGAACAGGAUUAGAUACCCUGGUAGUCCACGCCGUAAACGAUGAGUGCUAGGUGUUGGAUCCUUUCCGGGAUUCAGUGCCGCAGCUAACGCAUUAAGCACUCCGCCUGGGGAGUACGACCGCAAGGUUG
Molecule: ribosomal RNA, 551 nt
Filed under: uncultured bacterium
Lineage: Bacteria
Description: bacterial SSU rRNA
Rfam family: Bacterial small subunit ribosomal RNA
Source: RNAcentral